GGCUACGUAGCUCAGCUGGCUAGAGCAUUCGGUUCAUACCCGAACGGUCAUAGGUUCGACUCCUAUCGUAGCCACCA
RNAcentral lists this transfer RNA (77 nucleotides) under Clostridiales bacterium. RNAcentral's name for it is "tRNA-Met". It matches the Rfam family "tRNA". Rfam says of the family: Transfer RNA (tRNA) molecules are approximately 80 nucleotides in length. Their secondary structure includes four short double-helical elements and three loops (D, anti-codon, and T loops). Further hydrogen bonds mediate the characteristic L-shaped molecular structure. tRNAs have two regions of fundamental functional importance: the anti-codon, which is responsible for specific mRNA codon recognition, and the 3' end, to which the tRNAs corresponding amino acid is attached (by aminoacyl-tRNA synthetases). tRNAs cope with the degeneracy of the genetic code in two manners: having more than one tRNA (with a specific anti-codon) for a particular amino acid; and 'wobble' base-pairing, i.e. permitting non-standard base-pairing at the 3rd anti-codon position. The record is from RNAcentral. Lineage: Bacteria; Bacillati; Bacillota; Clostridia; Eubacteriales.